Molecule: ribosomal RNA, 429 nt
Filed under: Actinomycetes bacterium
Lineage: Bacteria; Bacillati; Actinomycetota; Actinomycetes
Description: Actinobacteria bacterium partial 16S ribosomal RNA
Rfam family: Bacterial small subunit ribosomal RNA
Source: RNAcentral
UAGGGAAUCUUCCGCAAUGGGCGAAAGCCUGACGGAGCAACGCCGCGUGAGUGAUGAAGGUCUUCGGAUCGUAAAACUCUCUAAUUAGGGAAGAACAAAUGUGUAAGUAACUAUGCACGUCUUGACGGUACCUAAUCAGAAAGCCACGGCUAACUACGUGCCAGCAGCCGCGUUAAUACGUAGGUGGCAAGCGUUAUCCGGAAUUAUUGGGCGUAAAGCGCGCGUAGGCGGUUUUUUAAGUCUGAUGUGAAAGCCCACGGCUCAACCGGGGAUGGUCAUUGGAAACUGGAAAACUUGAGUGCAGAAGAGGAAAGUGGAAUUCCAUGUGUAGCGGUGAAAUGCGCAGAGAUAUGGAGGAACACCAGUGGCGAAGGCGACUUUCUGGUCUGUACCUGACGCUGAUGUGCGAAAGCGUGGGGAUCAAACAGG